This is a long non-coding RNA of Helianthus annuus (common sunflower), 2239 nucleotides long. RefSeq lists it as uncharacterized. The record is from RefSeq and is a predicted model, not a curated record. NCBI's taxonomy places the organism in Eukaryota, Viridiplantae, Streptophyta, Magnoliopsida, Asterales, Asteraceae. The transcript is spliced from 3 exons.
GAUAAUGUCUAUUGAGAUACGGGUGGGUUUACACAAAGGAUUUAAUUCUCUUUAAUGAUGCCGCUUUUAAAAACUUUUUGUUUUUUUUAAGUAAAAUGGCUUAGUGCGUCGUUAUAUGUUGGGGCUUAAAGCAAAAUGCAAGUAAUAUUUUGCAUAAAAUUAAGAAUUUCAGCAUCUCAUAUAGUGAUAUUAAACAUUCAUAACUAACAUCCCGCCGCAACGCACAGGUUAACGUUAACUCGUUAAGGUAACAAAAAACAAACAUAUCUUAACUACUCAACUAACUACAAUAUAUUCCAAACAAGUAAUAAAUAUAUUAAUUAUAAGUUGGUCUUUUUCUAGUUUUUUUUAAUAGCGACUUUCUUGUGUCUAACCACCGUACUCCCCAAAUUGAAAAUCUUGUUGCUCCACUUCGGUCAGACUAUGUUGUCUUAACCAGGCCCAUGCUGGCUUUAAAGUUUGGCUUAGCGUUCCCCCGGGAGACCAUACCGCCGACUGCUACUUGAUGGCCGUUGUGCCACCACAAGAGCAGAACUCUCUGUCGUAACACACGGUGGGACGAAAACCCGGGUGGACUCAGGAUUCGAACCAAAAACCACUAGUACAAAAUUGAGCAAAUAAUGCGGAUGACAAAACUAAAAGAUGCGGUUAAAUGGUUAAACCGCAUCUUUUGCCCUCCCCUAAAACUAAAAAGUACAUCCUUUGUCUACCUAAAACGAAAAAGUGCGGUUAAAUGUAUGACCGCAUCUUUUAUCCCCCUAUAUUUCCCCCCAAAAAUUUCAAUUAGUUUUCGCUUCCCUCCAUCGACCUAAUAACCCCCAAAACCCGGCCUCUAUCUAUCCUCAUAACUCCUCAUUUUUCAUCUACCACACACUACAACCCUCGCUUCAGAUCAAAUCCUCUCAAUCUUCACCCUAAUCUUGUAUUGUUUCUAUCGGUUUACCCAACAAAUAAGCUGAUCUAGGGUUUGUUUGUGUUCAAUUUCACCAACACAUAUACUUUUAUGCUUUUCAAUCAAAGGAUCUCUCACAAGAAACCAAUGAUAACAUCCGUGAAUCGUUCAAUUAUUCGUUUGGUCUUCCGGUAUCUACACAUACACUUGAGUUAAAGCUUCGAUGUUCGAUGUUUUGAAGAAACACAACGAUAACUUCGCGAACAGUACAUGUAUUUUGAAAUCCAAAUUGAAUGAGAAAGGUGAAUUCAUCGAGCGUGUUAGGGUUUGUUUUUAAUAUAUCAUAUUACAGUUUUCUCCUGGUUUCACUUGCUUGUUUUCUUCAGAGGUGAUCGUACCCUAUUGUAAGGUAUCCCACUCAGAUCUAUCAAGACAUGUGGCGACCAACACUUCUUCAUAUGAUUAUCCAAUCGUUGAUGUCUGCUUCAGAUUCAAAUCUUUCAAAUAACUUAAGAGGUGAUUAUCUCCUUGUUAUACAUAUUUUGAAACUUUUAUGGUUUACUGUUUACAUAAAGACUUUUAUUAAAACUUUCUUGGUGCUAGUGUUACUACCCAUGUAAUGUAGGUGGGAAUGGCUUAACCGAAGGUUAUCAUCACAAUGGGCUGCGCUAAGAAGCCAAUGGAUGAUGUUUUACAGAAGUGUUUGUGUUGGCCCAGCUCCCUGUUAAAUUAAUCCCAGAAUAGAAAAUAAUUGAUAAACAGAGAUUUUCACAAAACAAAAUGGAUAAACACUUUUAUAUAUGUAUAUAUAUUUAGUGAAGCUUUGUAAAUCCUUCUUAUUAUGAUCUUCUAUAAGUAAUUGUUUUUUUAUGCUUGAUUGACAGUGUGUCAAAAAGGAUGGAGCAAAUUAUGGAUCACUCUAUGUUCCUUUGUUGCAGAAACUCAGUAAACACAGGCAAAUAUACUAUUUCAUUCACAUAUAGUAUUACUAGUUAGCCCAUUAACAUAUUUCCUCUUAUAGUUGAACAAUAAUUUGAAGUCGUUCAAAAUGUUUUAGCUUGAGCCUGUAGGUUAAGAAGUCACUUGUUGGCUUACACUUUUAAUCUCUUAUACAUCUAUACACUUGCAUAUCUUUUUUUAAGCUUCAGUGGUUUAUGAAAUGGAAUGUUGUGUUUUGUUAGGAAAUUUAUACGGUUCUAGUUGCAAGUAUAAACUGAAGAUGUUGGUUUCGGUUGCAAGUAUGAAGACUUGGGUUCGGAAGGUUAUUGUAUAUCGUUUUCAUCUUUAAACAUUAACGUAUUUGUGGUACUUUGAAACUUUUGUAAUUAUUUGUGUUACUUUAAAACC